UACGGAGGAGGCAAGCGUUAUCCGGAUUUAUUGGGUUUAAAGGGUGCGCAGGUUGUUUGAUAAGUCAGUGGUGAAAGUCUGUCGCUUAACGGUAGGAUUGCCAUUGAUACUGUUGGACUUGAAUAUGGAUGAGGUAGGCGGAAUGUGUAGUGUAGCGGUGAAAUGCAUAGAUAUUACACAGAACACCGAUUGCGAAGGCAGCUUACUAAUCCAUCAUUGACGCUGAGGCACGAAAGCGUGGGGAUCAAACAGGA
RNAcentral lists this ribosomal RNA (254 nucleotides) under uncultured prokaryote. Its description in RNAcentral is "partial 16S ribosomal RNA". It matches the Rfam family "Bacterial small subunit ribosomal RNA", at positions 524 to 777 of the family's 1533-position model. The record is from RNAcentral.